GCCGGGCAUGGUUGCGCACACCUGUAGUCCCAGCUACUCGGGAGGCUGAGGUGGGAGGAUAGCUUGAGCCCAGGAGGUGGAGGCUGCAGUGAGCCCUGAUCUCACCACUGCACUCUAGCCUGGGCAACAGAGCAAGACCCUGUCUCAA
Non-coding RNA from Pan troglodytes (chimpanzee), 148 nucleotides. It matches the Rfam family "Metazoan signal recognition particle RNA". Rfam says of the family: The signal recognition particle (SRP) is a universally conserved ribonucleoprotein. The record is from Rfam. NCBI's taxonomy places the organism in Eukaryota, Metazoa, Chordata, Mammalia, Primates, Hominidae.